This 160-nucleotide ribosomal RNA is filed under the name uncultured bacterium. RNAcentral describes it as "partial 16S rRNA". It matches the Rfam family "Bacterial small subunit ribosomal RNA", at positions 358 to 510 of the family's 1533-position model. The record is from RNAcentral.
GGAAUCUUCCACAAUGGACGAAAGCCUGAUGGAGCAACGCCGCGUGAGUGAAGAAGGGUUUCGGCUCGUAAAACUCUGUUGUUAAAGAAGAACAUAUCUGAGAGUAACUGUUCAGGUAUUGACGGUAUUUAACCAGAAAGCCACGGCUAACUACGUGCCA